AGCUCACAGAUGUCAGGCAGAGAAUUUAAGGCACAGCGGAAAUUCGCCUUCCAUGUCUUGGGAUCUGGUUUGUCUUUACCCGGACAAUAGCGUCCUGAAGUGAACAAGUGUACAGAUUUUGGGUCAGGGCCCUCAUUAACCAUCCCUGAUGUUUUCUUCUCUCUGUGCUGUUUAUAUAGGUUUCUAUGCAGAUAUACCUGGCCCAGGUGUGCUAUGUGAUCUUGUGAAGAGCUAUCCUGUUGUACUUUGACAGCAAUACGAUCACCGUGCACAUUCACGGCAACUGAACUGGAGCUUUCCCAUGAUGUGAUGCAGUCACAAAGCGUAACUUUCCCAAGGCUGCUGUGUGUGUGUGUGUGUGUGUGUGUGUGUGUGUGUGUGUGUGUGUGUGUGUGUGUGUGUGUGUGUGUGUGUGUGUGUGUGU
This is a long non-coding RNA of Dicentrarchus labrax (European seabass), 424 nucleotides long. RefSeq lists it as uncharacterized. The record is from RefSeq and is a predicted model, not a curated record. NCBI's taxonomy places the organism in Eukaryota, Metazoa, Chordata, Actinopteri, Moronidae. The transcript has 2 exons.